This 1246-nucleotide long non-coding RNA is filed under the name Lathyrus oleraceus (garden pea). Its description in RNAcentral is "Pisum sativum (pea) long non-coding RNA (PSAT_LNC040402)". The record is from RNAcentral. Lineage: Eukaryota; Viridiplantae; Streptophyta; Magnoliopsida; Fabales; Fabaceae.
GUGUGACGUAUAUAAGACAAUCCCCUUCACACUUGUUUAUUUCUUUCCUUUUUUUCUCUCUCUUCGCUCCUAUCUAUCUCUCGUUCUCCCAACUACUUCUUCCUUUGGUUGCUCUAUGUUCUUCACCCCUACCAUCUAAACCACCGCAUUCUUCAAUUUUCCGGUUGAACUUCAACCGAAAAAUUCAAACAUUCAAACACAUCAUCUCCAAAACCUUCAACCUAGCCCAGAAACCCUCACAUCCCCACGAACCCUAACCCUAAUAUUAUGAACCCUAACACUACCAUUUUCCAGAUUUCACCUUCCCUCACCCAGAUUCACAUUAAACAGUGGCCAAUCCAUAGAUCGGCCUUCCCUAAACCCCAAUCAAACCUCUAAAUCCCAAAAUCAACUCAAUAAUUUAUUACCCUAACCCUAAACCCCUUUUUCGAUUUAUCCCCAAAGUCAAACCAUAAACAAAAUUAUUGCAAACAAACAAGCAUACAAAUUCAAUAUAUGUCAGGUUUACUACGGAGCCAAAACAGGGACCAGCCUAUGGAAUGGAGAAGUAUUCCAGUCAAUCGAGGUAAAUGAUCCUUUUUUCUGUCUCUUUACGUUUUAGCCUUUUCUUCUCCUUCUCUUUUUUGACUGCUUCUUUUUCGUUUUAUGCGAGAUGCUAUUGAACUGUGGCUAGCUCAUAAGAAUUAGGGUUUCAAUGAGAAACCCUAAUCUUUGUUUGAAUUAGAGCUUUGAUGGAUGGUUUGGAAAUUGCAGAAGAAUCCGCUUCUAGGUUUUUUUUCGUCUCCUUUCUGUUUUAGAUUUAGGUUAUUUAUAGGUUACAAUAUUUUGAUUAGAUUGAUUCAAUUAGGAAGUUUUGUACUAGGUUCAAUCAGAUUUCAUUUAGUUUAGAAAUAGAUUAGGAUUUUUGAAUUGUAACUGAAAUUAUAAUGUAUUUGAUCCGAUAUUUGAUUUGUAAUACGUGAUUUUAUGAAAUUGAAAACUUUGGAUUGAGUUGAAAAUUGCAUGUUACUAUUUUGAUUAUGUGAAUGAAACCAUGGGGGAUUGAAGAAGAUGAUGAAUAGGGUCCGGGUCAGGCUUAAUCCAGCCCAAUGAUGGGUUUGGGUUGUGCCUCUCUCUCUCUCUCACAUAUAUCAUAAUGUAAAUAUAAGAAUGAUUAAUUAUUUUUUAUCAUAAUAAAAAAUUAUUAACUUAAUAUAAAUUGUAUUUAAGACAAUUUGUAUAGAAAAUUGAUAUAGAUUAAUAUUCC